GACGAACGCUGGCGGCGUGCUUAACACAUGCAAGUCGAACGGAAAGGCCCUGCUUUUGUGGGGUGCUCGAGUGGCGAACGGGUGAGUAACACGUGAGUAACCUGCCCUUGACUUUGGGAUAACUUCAGGAAACUGGGGCUAAUACCGGAUAGGAGCUCCUGCUGCAUGGUGGGUGUUGGAAAGUUUCGGCGGUUGGGUAUGGUCUCGCGGCUUCUCAGCUUGUUUGUGGGGUAGUGGCUUACCAAGGGUUUGACGGGUAGCCGGCCUGAGAGGGUGACCGGGCAAAUGGGGACUGAGAGACGGCACAGACUACAACGGGAGGCAGCAGUGGGGAAUAUUGCAGAAUGGGCGGAAGCAUGAUGCAGCAACGCAGCGAGCGGGAUGAAGGCCUUCGGGUUGUAAACAGAUUUAGAAUGUGACGAAGAGUGAGUGACGGUAAUGGGUAAAGAAGCACCGGCUAACUACGUG
This 468-nucleotide ribosomal RNA is filed under the name uncultured bacterium. Its description in RNAcentral is "partial 16S ribosomal RNA". It matches the Rfam family "Bacterial small subunit ribosomal RNA", at positions 28 to 507 of the family's 1533-position model. The record is from RNAcentral.